CUGUUGUUGGGUUGCUGCCCCUGAAUUGGUAAUUUUAAGGAAAUUUUGCUGUUUUUGGUUGUUAUCUUGAAUAUUAUUAUAGAUAGAGAUAAACUGUAAACAUCAAUAAUGUUAAGCAAAGUAAGAUUUACAAAUAAGUCAACAUGACGGAAAUGGUCAAUUGACCCCUAAGGAGUUAUUGUCCUUUGUAGUCAAUUUUUAACAAUUUUCAUAAAAUUUGUAAAUUUUAACUAACAUUUUCCACUGAAACUACUGGGCCAAGUUCAUUAUAGAUAGAGAUAAUUGUAAGUAGCAAGAAUGUUCAGUAAAGUAAGAUGUACAAACACAUCACCAUCACCAAAACACAAUUCUGUCAUGAAUCCAUCUGCUUCCUUUGUUUAAUAUUCACAUAGACCAAGGUGAGCGACACAGGCUCUUUAGAGCCUCUAGUUAUAUAUAAUUAUUAAGAAUU
This 451-nucleotide long non-coding RNA is filed under the name Mytilus galloprovincialis (Mediterranean mussel). The record is from RNAcentral. Lineage: Eukaryota; Metazoa; Mollusca; Bivalvia; Mytilida; Mytilidae.